Ribosomal RNA from Carassius auratus (goldfish), 120 nucleotides. NCBI's taxonomy places the organism in Eukaryota, Metazoa, Chordata, Actinopteri, Cypriniformes, Cyprinidae. The record is from Ensembl.
GCUUACGGCCCAUACCAACCUGGCUAUGCCCGAUCUCGUCUGAUCUCGGAAGCUAAGCAGGUUUGGGCCUGGUUAGUACUUGGAUGGGAGACCGCCUGGGAAUACCAGGUGCUGUAAGCU